GGGGGAAAGUCUCCCUGACAACAACGAUAUUUACCCAUGUGCAAAGAUGAUAGACAGAGUCACUUUGGCAUCUUGACAAUUCAGACACUGCACUCCGCGGUUUUGCCUUCCUGGCUGCUUUUUCCCAAGUCCAUAUAUAAAACAAGAAUGAAAAUCAUUCAAGUGGUAAAUUACUCUCCCUGGAAAGAAGCCUUCAGUUUGACCAGUAUACAAAUGAGGUUUGAGAACGGAGAUGUGGAAUAUUUUUUUGCUCACUUUCCCGCUGAUGACAACAGGAAUCACUUCCACAUGCUAGAAUUUCAAAAGGGGAUUGUAACCUACAGAUGCUGCCCGGCAUGCUUCAUUUAGUUCUGCAAUAAACAGAGCAUGCAGCAUGGUGGUGGAUCUCA
This 389-nucleotide long non-coding RNA is filed under the name Vulpes vulpes (red fox). RNAcentral's name for it is "lncRNA (ENSVVUG00000006818.1)". Lineage: Eukaryota; Metazoa; Chordata; Mammalia; Carnivora; Canidae. The record is from RNAcentral.